CCGUACUACUCUCACCUCCACUCAAUUCCACUUAAAUUUGAAAAAGAGUUUUAAAAAUUAAGUUUUAGAAAAGUUUAAUAGGUUUUAUAAUUUUGUUUUAAGUACAGCAUUACCUGGCUGGGUCAGUCAGUGGAGAAUGCAACUCUUGAUCUUGGGGUUGUGAGUUAAAACCCCACACUGAGUCUAGAGAUUACUUAAAAAAUUUUUUUCAAGUGCCUCAGUAUGGAAACCAAAAUGAAUAAGAAAUAAUAGAGUAAAUGCCAUAAUGGAUUAUAUUCUUAUAAGACAACAAGGGAUAAAGAAAUAGGUGGUGGGUGAAGGAAGAUUACUGAAACCUAUUUUUCAAGGGGUUUACAAUCUAGUGGGUGAAAUAAUCAUAGAAAACAAUGUGGUAUAAUAAAAUACGUUUCAAGAUAACAUUGACAUCUAAGAUGGACGAGUAUUACACUAGAAAGAAUUUUUUAAAUACAGAGAAAUUGAGUGACUACAUUCUAAUUAAAUCCUAGCAGAUGAUAGACUUACUUGAUUUUUUAAGUACCAAAAGAGAAGAAACUUCUAUUUUUAUUUUAUAAUGAAUUCACGUACCAAAAAGUGUAUUAGGGAAAAAAAAUCAUAUUCGAAUUGACGUCAAAGACAGACCUAGUUUAAAAUGCAAGAGACUCAUUAGUAGAAAAAUAUGUCUGAUAAAAAGAACAAAAUGAACAAAAAACAUGGAACCCAAUGAAUAAAUGAAAAAUGAUUAACAAAAAGGUUAACAAAAGGACUCAUAAUUGCCUUUCAGAGUAUUGCAAUUUUUAAAAGAGCUAGAAAAAUGAGCUUGCUGAUAAAAGAGUAGGGAAUUGAAAAUAUUGGCUAAAAAUAAAAAUAUUGGCUAUAAAAAUAAAUAAUUUUUUCUCUAUUGCCUUUUAACAAGAAAAUUAAGGGAAAUGUACAGUUAGGGAAUAACAGUGUCUUUACAGAAGGCUGUGAGGGAAAGGAAGGGAAAAGUACAUUGAAUGUGAAUCAGUCAAAGGGAAAGAGUAUUACUUCAACAGUACUCAAGGAGCUUGGGAUGAGUCUACUGAUGCAUUUAGAGCCAACUGAUAAAUGAGGGUACCCCCACUGAAUUACUGUAGUAGCCUUUUACAAGUCCCUCGCUUUGUUCUCUGGCUUGGUUCAGUCCAGUUGCAACACUGCAACCAUAAUGUCCUGUUGAAAGCUUGUCAGAUCAUGCCAUUCUUCUGCUCAAAGUUCUUAAGUGAUCCCCAUGUCCUUCAGAGUAUGGGUUAAGGCUUUAUAGUAUCCUAGAAGGUCCUAUAUGAUUUGGUCACAGUUUCCUCUCUGACUUCCUCUCCUGUCUUUUUCCCGUAGAUCUCUCUGAGUCACACCAGCAUUCUUGAAGUCCCUACAACAGACUAGGCCUCCCUCAGCCUUUGCUCCAGCAUCCAUCAAAGGAUGACCCAGGGAUCUCUGAUAACUGUCUUUAUCCACCAGGAUAUUGCUUACCUUUGGAGAUAUUUAAGGCUGAGGUUUAAGUUGGGCACAGCUGGGAUUUGGCUGCUCUAGUCUCAUGGCCGUGACCCCUGGGUGGCUCAGUCUCGGCUCCUGAUGUUCCAGGUCAUCACUACUCAGAGAGUGCAAGAGAGAACAAAAGCAAGGAGAGUGGCAGAGGGAGAUGGAGAAGCAGACUUCCUUCUGAGCAGGGAGCCUGGCCCCAGGUUCCACCAGGCUUGACCCCAGAACCCUGGGAUCAUGACCUGCACUGAAGGCAGACAUUUAACCCUCUGAGCCACCUAUGUGCCCCAGAAUGAUGAGAAAGAUGAGACUCCAUGCGCUUGAACUCUCCAUUUCCCUGAUCCUCUGAAUAAAGAGACCAGACCACAGAGGCCGAACAAGUUGCCCAUGUUCACACAGCUCAACGCGUUUCUCAACCUGAACUUAGACCUUUCAGACUUGCCAGCUUUAUAAAAAGCACUGUGACCGACUGUUUCGUCUGCAGGAUUUGAGAACCUAAUUCAAGGAGUCUCUUCCACACUGUAGAAACAGAUCGUCAGAUACCUGGAUGGCUCAGUCAGUUAAGUAUCCGCCUUUGGCUCAGUUUAUGAUCCUGGAGUCCUGGGACCGAGUCCCUUUCCCUCAGCCACCCCCUGCCACCUCACUCGUGCUUUCUCUUUCACUUUCUCUCUCUCAAAUAAAUAAUGUCUUUGAAACAAAAUAAAUAAAUAGAUUGUCACCCAGCAUAAACAGAAUAUGUGGGAGCAUUCACUCUUACUUUAAAAAAAAAAAAACUUAUUGAUAAUUUAAUUAUAUAUAGGAUACAACAAGGUUUUUUGUAAACAGCAUGUCUCAGAAUUUAGUUAAAGAGACUAUAUUGAAGGUAUUAAGUUUUGAGAGAGUGUUACAGAUAAUAAAUGCUAUAGGAAUUUGGAUUGGGACACUAGUAGAUGGUGUAAUGGAAAAAUCAUUAGACAAAAAAAAUCAUUAGAUAAUGAGUCAAAAGACACCAGUUCCGACACCAACCGAACCACUCCUAGUUCUUUAACCCUUAAGGUUCUUAAUUUCUCUGUGCUUCAGAUUUGUCAUUUAGAAACUGCUGAUAGUAAUGCUCCCUUCUUUCCUCACAGGGUUUUUAAAAUUAUAUGUGCAAAAAUGUUUAUAAAACUAUAAUGAACUGUGUAAACAAAUGAGAGAUACUGUUUUCCCUCUUUUCUUAUUUUUUUAAAGAUUUUAUUUACUUAUUUUUUUUAAUUUUAUUUAUUUAUUUGACAGACAGAGACCACAAGUAGGCAGAGAGGCAGGCAGAGAGCAAGAAGGAGGAAGCAGGCUCCCUGCUGAGCAGAGAGCCCGAUGCGGGACUCCAUCCCAGGACCCUGGGAUCAUGACUUGAGCUGAAGGCAGAGGCUUUAACCCACUGAGCCACCUAGGCACCCCAAGAUUUUAUUUACUUAUUUGACAGAGAAAGAGAGAUCACAAGUAGGCAGAGAGGUAGGGGGUAUGGAGCAAGCUCCCCGCUGAGCAGAGAGCCUGAUAUGUGGCUAGAUCCCAGGACCCUGACAUUAUGACCUGAGCUGGAGGCAGAGGCUUAACCCAUUGAGCCUCCCAGGCACCUCUGUUUUCCAUCUUUUAUUAGCACCAUAGCUUCAUGAUUCCUGAGAACGAUGAUAAUUUAUGUGUCAGUUUGACUAGGCUAUUGUGCUCAACCGUUUCAUCAAACAUUAAUCUAGAUGUUGCUGUGAAGGUAGUUUUAAUUUUUUUAUUAAAAUUUUUUAGAAGAUUUUAUUUGUUUAUUUGUUUAUUUGAGAGAAAGGGAGAAGCAGGGAGCCUGGCAAGGGGCUCAAUCCAGGGACCUUGAAAUCAGGACCUGAGCCAAGGCUUAAGUGACUGAGCCACCCAGGCGCGCCUGAGGGCAGUUUUUAGAUGUGAUUGUCAUUUAAAUCUGUAGACUUUGAAUAAAGCAGAUUACCCUUCAUAACAGGAGUAGGCCUUCCAAUCAGUUGAAGACUUAAGAAAAAAACUAGAGUCCCUACCCCACCAAAAAAGGGAAUUCUGCCUCCUGACUGACUGUAGACUCAAGACAGCAACAUCAACUCCUGCAAGAACUGGCAGCCCACCGACAGCCCUUCAACUCUCAUAGUGCCAGCGCCUAUAUUUGUAUGAGUCCGUUUUUUGAAAUACAUCUCUCUGUGCAACCAAUGUGAGGUGUGUGUGUGUGUGUGUGUAUACAUAUGUGUGUGCACAGAUACACAUUCACACACAUACAUAUCCUGUUGGUUCUGUUUCGCUGAAGAAUGCUGACUAAUGCAAUAGCUGCUCUGAAUAAAGGACUUACUUUGAUAAAAAAAAAAAUGUAGAAAGCAAUUAAAGCAACUUCAGAAGGUACUAUUUUACCCUUGACAUAUUUUUUGUUGGUCAACUUUCAAAUAUAGAGGAAAUAUAGAGUGUGUGUCAUGAUGCUAUCUUCCCUUAUUCCUAUGAAAUAUGUGCCCUUAAUAUACCCAAGUAGGAUAAAGGAUGAAACAAGAAUGUUUGCUCUUGUCUGAGCUGUUGAUCUGCCUUUGGGGACUGAAUGUGUGUCUUUGCUCAAGGAAUUGCCUGCAUUAGAAAUACCUGCCUUAAGGUGCCUGGGUGUCUCAGUUGGUUAAGCAUCUGCCUUUGGCUCAGAUCAUGAUCCUGGAGUCCUGGGAUCAAGUCCCACACUGGGCUCCCUGCUCAGUGGGGAGCCUGCUUCUCCCUCUCCCUCUGGCCCUCCACCUGCUUGUACUCACUGUCUCUCUCUCAAAUAAAGGAAGGAAGGAAGGAAGGAAUACCUGCCUUCCCACUCAUUCUCUGUGCAAAUGGGAUGCAACCCAUUCUUUCAAGCCCAGUUCAAUGACCCUUCUGUGCGGAAAUGCACAAUUCUUCUAGCUGAAAGUGGUUACUACUUCCUUUGAACUCUGUUCCUCUUUUAGUAUUCAUCACUGUAGGUCCUGAAUUAUAGUGACGUGUGUGUUUCUGUUGUGCUGACCUCUAGAAAUGACAAUUUUCUUGAAGGUAACAGUUACUGAUAAAUCAUAGUUUUCAUCAGAGCCUACUCUAGGUCCUUGCCUGACAUAUCCUGAUAAAUAUAUGCUGAAUAAAUAAAAUUUUGUGGGUCAUUUUCGUCUCUGGACUUCAAGUCAUUCUCUCCCCUUUGUGCAAUAACAAGUCCUAUAAGAAACUUCUUCAGAGUGAUUAUAACGUUUUAUGUAUAAUGGUGGUCCAGUGGUGAGUAUUUAUUACAUAGUAUAGGAAUGAACAGUAGCUGCAUGGGGCUUUAGCUAUGAGCUUGAAAGUUGGCCUAAAAUCACAUUUUAAAUGAGGAAAUUUUAUGAGCAGAGGUAAUAAAAUCACACAGGCUUGGUGACUGUACAGUAACCAAGGUACUUCCUUGUUCUCCCAUGACUUAUUCCUGAUAUUUAUCAGUGAUAUAAAUUCACUGCUAAAAUUAUGAUGGAAGCAAAGUACAAGUGUCUGUGUACCCAUCAAAUGCUUCACUUUCAAAGAUAUUUCUGUGCCCUCAAUGAACAGCAUGUACUUUCCAUCCAAAUUGGGAACACUUUACUAACUUCACAUUAUGUGAGUAGACACAGUGGCACAGAGAUACAAUGACUUCUUAGGGGAAAAAAGCAGAGAUGAAAUCUAUUUUAGAUCGAAGAAUUUUAAAAUUCUAACUCAGUGUGUUUGGCUCCAAUAUUCCUCGUGCCUCUGGGGGAAAAUUCAUCAAAAUGGUUUACAGAGAGGGCACCUGGGUGGCUCAGUAGGUUAAAGCCUCUGCCUUCCACUCAGAUCAAGAUCCUAGGGUCCUGGGAUCGAGCCCCGCGUGGGCUCUCAGCUCAGUAGGAAGCCUGCAUCCCCCUCUCUCU
Long non-coding RNA from Mustela lutreola (European mink), 5360 nucleotides. RefSeq lists it as uncharacterized. NCBI's taxonomy places the organism in Eukaryota, Metazoa, Chordata, Mammalia, Carnivora, Mustelidae. The record is from RefSeq and is a predicted model, not a curated record. The transcript has 5 exons.